RNAcentral lists this ribosomal RNA (449 nucleotides) under uncultured bacterium. Its description in RNAcentral is "partial 16S ribosomal RNA". It matches the Rfam family "Bacterial small subunit ribosomal RNA", at positions 354 to 796 of the family's 1533-position model. The record is from RNAcentral.
GUCGAGAAUCUUUCACAAUGGGGGCAACCCUGAUGGAGCGACGCCGCGUGGAGGAUAAGGUCUUCGGAUUGUAAACUCCUGUCAUGCGUGAACAAGGUUGCUUGGUUAAUACCUGGGCAAAUUGAUGGUAACGCAAGAGGAAGAGACGGCUAACUCUGUGCCAGCAGCCGCGGUAAUACAGAGGUCUCAAGCGUUGUUCGGAAUCACUGGGCGUAAAGGGUGCGUAGGUGGCGUGGUAAGUCAGAUGUGAAAGCCCGGGGCUCAACCUCGGAACUGCAUCCGAUACUGCCAUGCCAGAGUACUGGAGAGGUGACUAGAAUUCUCGGUGUAGCAGUGAAAUGCGUAGAUAUCGAGAGGAAUACCAAAGGCGUAGGCAGGUCACUGGACAGUUACUGACACUGAGGCACGAAGGCCAGGGGAGCGAACGGGAUUAGAAACCCUGGUAGUCC